CUGCCCUUGGGACAUUUGUUCAGUAUCUACAGGUCACAUCCACAGCCCUGUUGGUAAGACUGAGCAGGCUGCUUUGGAGAUGGAAUGGAGAGCAUAGGGAGACCAGAGAGAGGCAGAAAAAGCUGGCCUUCAGUGUCAGUGCAUCACUUAAGAAAUAAAUGGUCCUGGGGAAGCUCCCAACUACUGAGGAUUCACCAUUCUCACCCUCCCUCACCAAGCAGGAGCAGCAGAUAAACAAGGUGGAGAAACUGAUCCUUCAGCUUCAGAGGAUGACCAAAGAGAGGAAUGAACUGUGUGUAAUCCUGGCCCAUUAUAGCAACAGUGAUUUGAACAACAUGUAGUCAUUAGGCCCA
This is a long non-coding RNA of Peromyscus eremicus (cactus mouse), 353 nucleotides long. RefSeq lists it as uncharacterized. The record is from RefSeq and is a predicted model, not a curated record. The transcript has 2 exons. NCBI's taxonomy places the organism in Eukaryota, Metazoa, Chordata, Mammalia, Rodentia, Cricetidae.